AGUGAACGCUGGCGGCAUGCCUUACACAUGCAAAUCGAACGGUAACGGGCCUUCGGGUGCCGACGAGUGGCGAACGGGUGAGUAAUACAUCGGAACGUGCCCGAUCGUGGGGGAUAACGAGGCGAAAGCUUUGCUAAUACCGCAUACGAUCUACGGAUGAAAGCAGGGGACCGCAAGGCCUUGCGCGGACGGAGCGGCCGAUGGCAGAUUAGGUAGUUGGUGGGAUAAAAGCUUACCAAGCCGACGAUCUGUAGCUGGUCUGAGAGGAUGAUCAGCCACACUGGGACUGAGACACGGCCCAGACUCCUACGGGAGGCAGCAGUGGGGAAUUUUGGACAAUGGGCGCAAGCCUGAUCCAGCCAUGCCGCGUGCAGGAUGAAGGCCUUCGGGUUGUAAACUGAUUUUGUACGGAACGAAAAGCCUUCUUUUAAUACAGGAGGGUCAUGACGGUACCGUAAGAAUAAGCACCGGCUAACUACGUG
RNAcentral lists this ribosomal RNA (482 nucleotides) under uncultured bacterium. Its description in RNAcentral is "partial 16S ribosomal RNA". It matches the Rfam family "Bacterial small subunit ribosomal RNA", at positions 29 to 507 of the family's 1533-position model. The record is from RNAcentral.